This 485-nucleotide ribosomal RNA is filed under the name Diplocentrus colwelli. RNAcentral's name for it is "partial 16S ribosomal RNA". It matches the Rfam family "Archaeal large subunit ribosomal RNA", at positions 1924 to 2669 of the family's 2987-position model. Lineage: Eukaryota; Metazoa; Arthropoda; Arachnida; Scorpiones; Diplocentridae. The record is from RNAcentral.
GGUUUUUAGAAAUUAUUAAAAAUCAAGCCUGCUCAAUGCCUAGUAAAUAGCCGCGGUAUCCUGACCGUGCAAAGGUAGCAUAAUCAUUAGCCUUGUAAUUGAAGGCUAGAAUGAAUGGUUUAACUGAAUUGCUUUGUCUCAUAAUAAUAUCUUUAAUUUUAUAUUUUAGUAAAAAAGCUAAAAUGCUUCUUAGGGACAAGAAGACCCUAUUGAGCUUUACAAAAUUUAUUUAUUUACUCACAGAAUAAAUAAAUUUUGUUUUACUGGGGCAGUAAACAAAAUUAAUUUUAUCUAAAUAUUGUGAAGUAUAAAUCUUGCCAAAUCAAAAACUUUUUAAUAAAAAAUAAGUUACCGUAGGGAUAACAGCGUAAUUUUUCUUUAGAGAACAUAUCUACAGAAAAGUUUGCGACCUCGAUGUUGGAUUAAGAAUCCUAUUUUACGCAACAGUAAAAAAAGGAAGUCUGUUCGACUUUUAAAAUCUUCCA